This 698-nucleotide long non-coding RNA is filed under the name Gossypium barbadense (sea-island cotton). RNAcentral's name for it is "long non-coding RNA (GBAR_LNC014431)". Lineage: Eukaryota; Viridiplantae; Streptophyta; Magnoliopsida; Malvales; Malvaceae. The record is from RNAcentral.
GCCGAAGCCGGGAUUAAUCUGGAUGCUGAACCGGGACCUUUGACUUCUAUCGACCUGCGCACGGAAACAACCGUACGCUGAGUAAUUCAUACUCAGUGGUAUUACCAUAAUUCAAAUUAUAACAAUAAUGUACAUGUAAUGCAUAAAUCGUAUAUACAAUUUAAAUUAAAUAUUUCAACAAUAGCAAUUCAUCAACCAAUAUCGUAUAUCCACAAUUUGAGUUUGAAUAAUUCACGAACCUUAGGUUCAUUUCUCAAUCUCAUUUCACAUUUCAAUUCACAAUUCAACUUUUUCAUAUCAUUUCAAUAGCUCGUUUGACCAACUCGUUCGGUUUAUCAUUUCAUCAUUUACCCUAUUAACAAAACUCAGACUUUGGCGGAUACACGGAUCCAACCAAACACACCAGAAUGGCACCCAGUGCCUCAUCGGAUAGUUCGAAGCAAUAGUUGACACCCAGUGUCUCAUCGGCCAAGCCGAAGUAAGUUGGUACCCAGUACCUCAUCGAAUCUAUCCGAAGAAAUAUAGUGACACCCAGUGUCUCAUCGACUCGAGGUCGAAGUAUCCCUGAACUCUUCCAAUCCUAUGGCAUGCCAACUAUAUCCGACUCAGCCCGACUAGUUAAUAGGGUAUUUAAAUCACAUAUAUUCUCAAUUCAAUCACAAUUUCUCACAUUUUCAAUUCAAUCAUUUUUCCACCUU